RNAcentral lists this non-coding RNA (30 nucleotides) under Mus musculus (house mouse). The record is from RNAcentral. Lineage: Eukaryota; Metazoa; Chordata; Mammalia; Rodentia; Muridae.
UGUUAGAUGCCUUACUUGACCUUCCUAGGA